This 403-nucleotide unclassified non-coding RNA is filed under the name Hevea brasiliensis (rubber tree). Lineage: Eukaryota; Viridiplantae; Streptophyta; Magnoliopsida; Malpighiales; Euphorbiaceae. The record is from RNAcentral.
UCUGGACUUGCUCACUUGAAGCUGGCUUGUGUACCAUGUACUAAGAUGCCUACCAACAAUAAACUGAACCAAGCAAAGAUGCUGAACACAAAUGAUGCUGGAAGUUGAGAUCAAUGGACUAGUGUAUAUCUGUUUGUGUUUGUGCAGGUGUGGAAACGUCUUUCCAUUUAGGAAAAGGGAGAUCAUUUUCCUCUAAAGUGGCUUAUUUUUUCUCUUAAACUAAGAAAACAUUUACUGUUGACAGAUAUUCCUAUGUGUUCCAAGAACAAGAAAAUGCAAAUAUUUUUCAAAAAAGAAUAUUUCCUUUAAACCAGGCAAAGACCUCAUUUGCUCAAGUGACAUGAAAUAGACAAAUAAAAUCAAGAAGUACAUGAUUUCAUAUAGACAAAAUAAUUAGACAUGG